RNAcentral lists this ribosomal RNA (489 nucleotides) under uncultured bacterium. RNAcentral describes it as "partial 16S ribosomal RNA". It matches the Rfam family "Bacterial small subunit ribosomal RNA", at positions 28 to 507 of the family's 1533-position model. The record is from RNAcentral.
GAUGAACGCUAGCGGCAGGCUUAAUACAUGCAAGUCGUGGGGCAGCAGGACUGUAGCAAUCCAGUUGCUGGCGACCGGCAAACGGGUGCGGCACACGUACGCAACUUACCCUGAACUGGGGGAUAGCCCGGGGAAACCCGGAUUAAUACCCCGUAAUAUAAUGGAGUGGCAUCACUUUAUUAUUAAAGCUCCGGCGGUUCGGGAUGGGCGUGCGGCUGGUUAGGUAGUUGGUUGAGGUAACGGCUCACCAAGCCUACGAUCAGUAACUGGUGUGAGAGCACGACCAGUCACACGGGCACUGGGACAAGGGCCAGACUGCUACGGGAGGCAGCAGUAAGGAAUAUUGGGCAAUGGAGGCAACUCUGACCCAGCCAUGCCGCGUGGAGGAUGAAGGCCCUCGGGGUUGUAAACUUCUUUUAUAGGGGACGAAACCUGUGUAUUCUUACGCAGUUGACGGUACCCGAGGAAUAAGCACCGGCUAACUCCGUG